RNAcentral lists this ribosomal RNA (246 nucleotides) under uncultured bacterium. Its description in RNAcentral is "partial 16S ribosomal RNA". It matches the Rfam family "Bacterial small subunit ribosomal RNA", at positions 523 to 769 of the family's 1533-position model. The record is from RNAcentral.
AUACGGAGGAUCCGAGCGUUAUCCGGAUUUAUGGGUUUAAAGGGUGCGUAGGCGGAUUGGAAAGUCAGCGGUGAAAGUUUGCAGCUUAACUGUAAAAUUGCCAUUGAAACUGUCAGUCUUGAGUGCAAAUGAGGUAGGCGGAAUGUGUUGUGUAGCGGUGAAAUGCAUAGAUAUAACACAGAACACCAAUUGCGAAGGCAGCUUACUGGGAUGCAACUGACGCUGAGGCUCGAAAGUAUGGGUAGC